CUCAUUGGUUUCUAAGUUCUCAAACAGGAGGGGUAGGGUGACCUUAGGGACUCCAUCUAUAUUUCAUUUAAUUAGUUAUAUUGGCCCAUACAUGAAUAUAUAUUGUUUUGGUGUGGGGAUCUCGACCGUUUCCAAGUUCUCAAACAGGAGGGUUGGGGUGACCACAGGGACUUCCCUUAUAUUUCAUUUGAUUUGUUAUAUUGUCCCAUACAUGAGUAUAUAUGGUUUAGGGGUAAGGAUCUUGACCAUUUCCAAGUUCUCAAACAGGAGGGUAAACAGUGACCUCAGGGACUCCCCCUAUCUUUCAUUUGAAUUAUUAUAUUGUCCCGUACAUGAAUAUAUAUGGUUAAGGGGUGGUGAUCUCAACGGGUUUCAAAUUCUCAAACAAGAGGGGGUGGGGUGACCCAAGGGACUCCCCCUAUAUUUCAUCUGAUUUGUUAUAUUGUCCCAUACAUGAAUAUAUAUGGUUUAGGAGUGGGGAUCUUGACCAAUUUUAAAUUCUAAAAACAGGAGGAGUGGGGUGACCCCCAGCGAUUCUUCCUAUAUUUCAUUUGAUUUUUCAUAUUGUCACAAACAUGAAUAUAUAUGGUAAAGGGUGUGGAUCUCGACCGUUUCCAAGUUCUCAAACAGGAGGGGGUGGGGUAACUCCAGGGACUCCCCUAUAUUUCAUUUUUUAUUUAUUAUAUUGUCCUAUACUUGAAUAUAUGCAGGGGUUGGUUCAGACAGGGGAGGGUUGCUGGCUUGCACACCCCUUAAAUU
Molecule: long non-coding RNA, 759 nt
Filed under: Mytilus galloprovincialis (Mediterranean mussel)
Lineage: Eukaryota; Metazoa; Mollusca; Bivalvia; Mytilida; Mytilidae
Source: RNAcentral